Molecule: ribosomal RNA, 253 nt
Filed under: uncultured bacterium
Lineage: Bacteria
Description: partial 16S ribosomal RNA
Rfam family: Bacterial small subunit ribosomal RNA
Source: RNAcentral
UACGUAGGGUGCAGGCGUUAAUCGGAAUUACUGGGCGUAAAGCGUGCGCAGGCGGUUUGUUAAGACAGGUGUGAAAUCCCCGGGCUUAACCUGGGAACUGCGCUUGUUACUGGCAGACUCGAGUGUGGCAGAGGGGGGUGGAAUUCCAGGUGUAGCAGUGAAAUGCGUAGAGAUCUGGAGGAACACCGAUGGCGAAGGCAGCCCCCUGGGUUAACACUGACGCUCAUGCACGAAAGCGUGGGGAGCAAACAGG